CCUACGGGGGGCAGCAGUGGGGAAUUUUGGACAAUGGGGGCAACCCUGAUCCAGCCAUUCCGCGUGAGUGAAGAAGGCCUUCGGGUUGUAAAGCUCUUUCAGCAGGAACGAAACGGUAGGCUUUAAUAAAGUUUGCUAAUGACGGUACCUGAAGAAGAAGCACCGGCUAACUACGUGCCAGCAGCCGCGGUAAUACGUAGGGUGCGAGCGUUAAUCGGAAUUACUGGGCGUAAAGCGUGCGCAGGCGGUUUUGUAAGACAGAUGUGAAAUCCCCGGGCUUAACCUGGGAACUGCGUUUGUGACUGCAAGACUAGAGUGUGGCAGAGGGGGGUAGAAUUCCACGUGUAGCAGUGAAAUGCGUAGAGAUGUGGAGGAAUACCGAUGGCGAAGGCAGCCCCCUGGGUUAACACUGACGCUCAUGCACGAAAGCGUGGGGAGCAAACAGGAUUAGAUACCCCAGUAGUC
RNAcentral lists this ribosomal RNA (465 nucleotides) under uncultured bacterium. RNAcentral's name for it is "bacterial SSU rRNA". It matches the Rfam family "Bacterial small subunit ribosomal RNA", at positions 338 to 795 of the family's 1533-position model. The record is from RNAcentral.